This is a small nucleolar RNA of Polypterus senegalus (gray bichir), 134 nucleotides long. RefSeq annotates it as U8 small nucleolar RNA. Lineage: Eukaryota; Metazoa; Chordata; Cladistia; Polypteriformes; Polypteridae. The transcript has a single exon. The record is from RefSeq and is a predicted model, not a curated record.
GAAUUGAUGAGGUAAAUCCUCAUCUGUUCUUCCAGAGAUGGAAAAACAGAAAAUGAUGAGUGGGUGUAUAUGAUUCUAUGAUUAGAAUCGCCUGGAUCUUGGGGAGAUAACACCCUUGAGUAACCCAUUCUGAA